UUCAAAACAUAUGACUAAUUGGUUUGAUUCUAAUAAUGUUAAAUCUUUUCAUCUUGUUUCCUUAGGAAACAUUUGGCUGUACUUUAAAAAUUUAAUCCGAAGCUGCAAGAAAAAUGAUUAUUGGUUACCAAGUAGGAUUUUACAAGAUUUCUGUAUUUAUCUUAGAGAGAGAGUAAGCAAGCACGAGUUGGGGGAGGAACAGACUCUUCAAGCGGACUCCCUGCUGAGUGUGGACCCUGAGGUGGCUCAAUCUCAUAACCCAUGGGAUCACUACCCAGGAUGAAACCAAUUGUUGGACGCCUCACCAACUGAUACACCCAGGUACCCUUAAAACUGUAAGCUUAUUUUAAAUGUUCCUCUCAAGUCCUUGUUCCCCUUAAAACCUUC
Molecule: long non-coding RNA, 387 nt
Filed under: Mustela putorius furo (domestic ferret)
Lineage: Eukaryota; Metazoa; Chordata; Mammalia; Carnivora; Mustelidae
Description: lncRNA (ENSMPUG00000024114.1)
Source: RNAcentral